GUGGUUGUGGCUCAGUGGCAGAGCACUUGCCUAGCACAUAUGAGGAACCAGGUUCAAUCCUUGGCAACACA
This is a non-coding RNA of Ictidomys tridecemlineatus (thirteen-lined ground squirrel), 71 nucleotides long. The record is from Rfam. Lineage: Eukaryota; Metazoa; Chordata; Mammalia; Rodentia; Sciuridae.